Molecule: long non-coding RNA, 440 nt
Organism: Cyanistes caeruleus (blue tit)
Lineage: Eukaryota; Metazoa; Chordata; Aves; Passeriformes; Paridae
Source: RefSeq, a predicted model, not a curated record
CAACAGAGUUACAAACUUCCAUGUUGGAAACAAGAGUCUCCUGGGCUAAAGAAACUUGAAGCAGCUGGAAAUGCCAGCAGGGUCUCCCCUCCACUCUAUCGGGCCUCUCGCAGUGGAACUGAGGAGAAAAACUUCAGUAACCAUGGUAACUUGACACCAGGCUGUUUCGCCUUUUCCUGCUGUGAUGAAAACAGGGAGAGAUCUGCCAAAUCAGUACUGUAAAUCUCCAAGAGACCCUUCUCAAGAACAUUGCCAGCUGGGAUUGAAUAGGUGGGAUUAUGACAAUUCUGCAACAGCUCUGUUUCUGAUGAAGAAAAGUUCUCCCCCUUUGGUGACCUGUAAGCACUACCUGAACCUCUCACCUGAUGUUCAGCUUGUGCAUUUGUAACUGCUUUUCAGUGGUCAUAAAUCCUUUAUUAGACAGUCAAUUAUAUACAGCU